This 634-nucleotide long non-coding RNA is filed under the name Callithrix jacchus (white-tufted-ear marmoset). Its description in RNAcentral is "lncRNA (ENSCJAG00000081035.1)". The record is from RNAcentral. Lineage: Eukaryota; Metazoa; Chordata; Mammalia; Primates; Cebidae.
GACAUAUCCAUAUAUCCAUUGCCUCAUUCAUCGGAGAACAUCUCAGGAGCAAGGACACUGUGAUAUUUAUUACUUUAACCUCCAUGACUGUCAGAAAUAGCAGAAAAGCUUCCUGACAGACUUCCCCUGAUAUUUCACCAGCUAGAAUAUUUCAUGUCACUGGGACACCUCUAGCCUGCAAGGGAGGCUGAGGCAGAAUUCUCAGUUUCUGAAGCCUCCGUCAUAGAGUGAAGGCUACUGCAGUGGCAUGUAAAAAAUAUUUCAGGCAAGUUUGAGAAAUAAAAGCAGAUUGGUGACAAAAAGGAUAUUAAAACCAGGAAAGAGUUAGGAAAGUAGAAUUGCUGAUAAACUCCUCUAGCAUCCUGCAACCUUCGAGAGCCUGUUUGAUCCGACUUCAUAAAACAAAUUGCUACAUUUUGCUUUUCAAACUCAUCCCACAUCAGAAGUCUCCUUCAGAAUUGUCAAUGCAGAGCACACUUGUCUUCCAGGCAAACAGGUGAGGUCCAGAUUGCCAGAGUUGAGAACAGCUCUGCUCCUCCAAGAUUUAAGAAGGUAGGAAGUGGCUGGGCACUGAGCAAGUGCAGGACUUUCUCAUUUCAGCCUGGCCCAGAGGCUUGGGAUGGCAGGUUCUCAU